RNAcentral lists this ribosomal RNA (460 nucleotides) under uncultured bacterium. Its description in RNAcentral is "partial 16S ribosomal RNA". It matches the Rfam family "Bacterial small subunit ribosomal RNA", at positions 338 to 795 of the family's 1533-position model. The record is from RNAcentral.
CCUACGGGCGGCAGCAGUGAGGAAUAUUGGUCAAUGGGCGCGAGCCUGAACCAGCCAAGUAGCGUGAAGGAUGACUGCCCUACGGGUUGUAAACUUCUUUUAUAAAGGAAUAAAGUGAGCCACGUGUGCCUUUUUGUAUGUACUUUAUGAAUAAGGAUCGGCUAACUCCGUGCCAGCAGCCGCGGUAAUACGGAGGAUCCGAGCGUUAUCCGGAUUUAUUGGGUUUAAAGGGUGCAUAGGUGGGUUGAUAAGUCAGUUGUGAAAGUUUGCGGCUCAACCGUAAAAUUGCAAUUGAUACUGGCUGUCUUGAGUACAGUUGAGGUAGGCGGAAUUCGUGGUGUAGCGGUGAAAUGCUUAGAUAUCACGAAGAACUCCGAUUGCGAAGGCAGCUUACUAAACUGCAACUGACAUUGAUGCUCGAAAGUGUGGGUAUCAAACAGGAUUAGAUACCCCAGUAGUC